RNA transcript from Phyllostomus discolor (pale spear-nosed bat), 2595 nucleotides. It is a transcript of the gene named zinc finger protein 410, with no coding region annotated. The record is from RefSeq and is a predicted model, not a curated record. The transcript has 13 exons. NCBI's taxonomy places the organism in Eukaryota, Metazoa, Chordata, Mammalia, Chiroptera, Phyllostomidae.
ACUGUGCGCUGUGUGUGGACGGAAUUCGGGACGACUGGCGGACGGCUGCCGCGAACGGGCAGGCUACAUUGAUUACCCACCCACCCAGCACAGCAUCUUGCGGGAAAAGCGUAGCAUUUCCUAGAGGAAUAUGAGCAUAAACGGGAAGGUGUCGCUGACUCUGAAUUAAAAUUUUAACCUGUCCCCCGAACAGCUACAGGAUUUGGAAGCUGAAUCAAUGUUAUCAGAUGAGUUAGAGUCCAAACCAGAGCUCCUGGUACAGUUUGUUCAGAAUACGUCCAUCCCGCUGGGACAGGGGCUAGUAGAAUCAGAAGCUAAAGAUAUUACUUGCUUGUCCCUCCUUCCGGUGACUGAGGCCUCAGAAUGCAGUCAGCUAAUAUUACCAGAUGAUACUCCAAGUCACACUAACUCCUCCAAGGAGGUCCCUUCUUCAGCUGUGCUGAGAAGCCUGCAGGUGAAUGUGGGCCCAGACGGAGAGGAGACGAGGGCUCAGACUGUGCAGAAGUCCCCGGAGUUUUUGUCCACUCCAGAGUCUCCUAGCUUGUUGCAAGAUCUACAGCCGAGUGACAGCACUUCUUUUAUUCUUCUUAACCUAACAAGAGCAGGCCUGAGCUCCUCAGCCGAGCACCUGGUAUUUGUGCAGGAUGAGGCCGAGGAUUCAGGGAAUGAUUUCCUCUCCGGGGAGAGCACGGACAGUAGCAUUCCCUGGUUCCUCCGGGUCCAGGAGUUGGCCCAUGACAGUUUGAUCGCUGCUACUCGGGCACAGCUGGCAAAGAAUGCAAAAACCAGCAGCAAUGGAGAAAACGUCCACCUUGGUUCUGGCGACGGGCAGCCCAAAGACUCUGGGCCCCUUCCUCAAGUGGAAAAGAAGCUCAAGUGCACAGUGGAAGGCUGUAACCGGACGUUCGUGUGGCCAGCGCACUUUAAGUACCACCUCAAAACCCACCGGAAUGACCGCUCCUUCAUAUGCCCUGCAGAAGGCUGUGGGAAAAGUUUCUACGUGCUGCAGCGGCUGAAGGUGCACAUGAGGACCCACAAUGGAGAGAAGCCCUUUAUGUGCCCUGAGUCCAGCUGUGGUAAGCAGUUCACCACAGCUGGGAAUCUGAAGAACCACCUGCGGAUCCACACAGGGGAGAAGCCUUUCCUUUGUGAAGCACAGGGCUGUGGCCGCUCCUUUGCUGAGUAUUCCAGCCUCCGAAAGCACUUGGUGGUUCACUCAGGGGAGAAGCCUCAUCAGUGUCAAGUCUGCGGGAAGACCUUCUCUCAGAGCGGGAGCAGGAACGUGCACAUGAGGAAGCACCACCUGCAGCUGGGCGCAGCUGGCGGUCAAGAGCAGGAGCAGACUGCCGAGCCGCUCAUGGGCAGUAGUUUGCUGGAAGAGGCUUCGGGGCCCAGUAAAGGCCUGGUGUCCGUGAGUUCCCAGCCCAGCCUUGGUGGAGAGUCACUGAACCUACCAAACACCAAUUCUAUCCUAGGAGUGGAUGAUGUUAUGGAAGAACUUAACUUUUAAAACAUUUAAACAGAACAUAACCAGGUUUUACAGAGGAGAUAUAAAGCAAUUUCUCCAUACCUUCAAAAGCCAUAUCUUCUGGAGAAAAGAAAGGGCUCUCUAGGAAACAGUUGCUCCUCUCUGGUAUAGAAAUUUCACCCAAGUUACACAGGCCAGGCCCUCUUCUCUGAAAAACUUAACAGAGGUGCUUGCUGAAGGAUCCCCACGCCCCCUGUCCGCAGUGCCUGAUGUGACACAUCACUUGGUGACCAUGCAGUCAGGGAGGCAGUCAUACGAGGUUUCUGUCCUGACGGCUGUGAAUCCACAGGAGUUACUGAACCAAGGAGAUUUAACUGAAAGGCGGACAUGAGCCUGGGCGCUGAAUCCUGGAAGAGCAGCCGUGCCUGAUCCCAGGGUUCACACCGUGGGAACGGCUGCUUCCGGGUCCCGGUCCGCCAGAACCCGAGUGACUCUGCGAACCACGAGACCCCGCUUCCUCCUCUGGCUUCUUCCCUGGCGUGGAGAGUGAACGCAGGAGAGCUGCGCUUCAGACUGUCUGGUCCGGGGACGGAAGAGAGCAGUGGAUGUGGGCUGGGUAACUGUACCUACCUGUCUCCCCCUGCAAAAUUUUGGGAUGGACUCCCCGAAAUGAACUUGAUUCCAUGUUGGCUGAAGUUUCUCUGUAUUACUGUUGAGAGGUUUUCCGAUGAAGAGCUUUCAUCCCAGACUAAGCUGUAUUUUCACGUGGAUGAACUGUGAGUCCUGCCACCAACCAUAAAACUUCACCAAGAAGUUGAGCUUUCCAGAUGCCUUGUUGCUUUGGAGAAGGGAGUGGUGUCAGUUCUGUGGUGACACCCUCCCUUUAGCAACCCGAGUAAGAGACUCUCGCCACUGGGCUGCAAAAAAAUAAAUAAAUUACUUGAAUCCCUACCUGGCCCAGCUGAGGUACUGUCGUGUCCCAUACCCCUCUCCGUGGUCACUGUCCUCUCUUUGUUAUAGAACAUACAGGAGCAUGUUUAAAGGUUUUUGUGGGGGGUUUUUAGUUAAAAAAAUCACGAUUCAGAGCUUCAGUUGUUUUCCCUCUAAUAAACAAAACAGCCCAGUCA